CAGCUGUAUGACGCUCUGUCCCAAAGCAGAAGGCUGGCAGGAAAGGUCUAGCAUAGGUAACCCUUUUUAACACAGCCAAUCCCUAUGGGUAGAUGACUGAUGGGGGAGAGAGUUUCCCCUUCAUUGUAAGAUUGGAAGGACGCUGGAACAGUGAGCCAAACACAUUGCGGUAGUUGAUAUUUUUCUUUUGUUUCUUUUUCUUUCUUUUUAAAAAAUCUGUUAGUCAGCAAGGGAGGGAAGAUUGACAGAUACCUUUUCCCAAUAUGCAACUAUCAGAUGUUUUAUGCAUGCAAAUUAUGUUUUAGGAAUUGGCCAACUUCACCAUAACCAAAUUUGGGUAUGGGUGGACUAGCCUUGGGCUCAUAUGAAUUUAAUUGAGAUAUUUACUUAGAAAUCCAUUGGGGAAAAAAAACAGGGGUUAGGAAGGAGGGGGGAUAUCUGUCAUAUCUUUAGCAUCUCUUUUUUAAAAGGUGUUUUUAUGGUGAAUGUUUUGGGUUUAGAUUUUUAUCCCCUGUCCCCUCCAGCAUGAUGGUUUUGGAGAUUUGCUUGCUGUGUGAUUGACAAGCACUUUUACUGACAAAAAUGGUGAGGCUCUGUCAGAACCUCCACCUUCCCCAACACCAAAGACAGGGGCAGUGCAGUAUUCCAACCAGCAAUGGGUGGGGAGGCAUUGUAUACAUGUAAAUUUAAAAGUCCUGUGAGUGGAAGUGUUUUUUUUUAAAUGAUUUUUGUCCUUAUGUAUUUGAUUUAUAUAUGACAUCUAGCUAUCUCUUUAUAUAUAACUAUAUAUAUAUAUAACUAUAUAUAUAUUUAUAUAUAUAUAUAUAUACAUACAUGUCCCCUAGUUUUGGAUCAUGAGAGAUCUUCAUGCAUUCUUUGCAAAGGAGGUUAUGAGGUUUUUCCCUCAGAACAUUUAUAACUAUACGAAUGUGCCAGUUAAAGUGCUCAACAGGAAAUAUGACAGUUUAAAAGCAUUGUAAAACUCACAUAGCUUACUUCUCUCUCUAAAGUGCAACAAGGAUGACUAGAAUGGGCCAAGGUAUGACAAUUAAUGGUUCUGCAUGACCUAGCCACUGCUGGGGGUUUUCUUCUAUAACGUUGUCCUUGUGAAACUUUUGUGGAAUUAAAAAAAGGAGUUACAAAUUUUA
Molecule: long non-coding RNA, 1148 nt
Filed under: Rattus norvegicus (Norway rat)
Lineage: Eukaryota; Metazoa; Chordata; Mammalia; Rodentia; Muridae
Description: long non-coding RNA NONRATT010230
Source: RNAcentral